CACAUGGAUGGGGUCAGCCUUAUUCAGUGUUGAAUUCUGUGCUCUGUGGUGUAAUGUUCUUAGGAUUCAUGCACUACAUUUACCCAUGUUUCUGGUACUUUGAAUUGUGUCACUGGAGAAGCUGUCUGAUUCUCUGAACAUGACGCAAGCCUUGCUGUCACCACCACCGUGAAGGUCAGAUACAGCACCCAAGGCCCUUGCGCCUCUGCCACCGCUGUGAGAAGUACAUAUCCUGGCCAGCCUGCUGACUCAGGAGGUUGAGAAUCAGGUGCAGCAGACCAGAGCACUGCUUCAGUGUCAGGGUAGAGCUGCUCCAUGACCCAGAGAUUCAUACGAGCCAUCCCACCACACUCGUCCCACCUGGCUUGUGUCAAUGUUCCAUUACUGUUCACCGGCUGCCCACGCACCUCCAGCUCCACAUCAGGGGACAGCACCUGACAGAUGCCUGCCUUGGAGGCUGGGGCUGCCACAACAAAGAACCACAGCCUGGGGGCUUAAACACAGACGUGCAUUUCCUCACAGUGCUGGAGGCUGGAAGUCCAAGAUCAAGUGUGUCCUAGAGUGCAUGAAAGAAGCUGGAGAAAAAUCACCAUGGAGUUUAUCCUGGUUUUGCCUCUCAUGGAAAGAAGAGAGACAACUGAAGCCUCAAUCCAGAAACAGGUAAAUGUAUUACCUGCUUCAAACUGAUGGAUGGACAGACAGAAAGAGCAGCAAACCAACAAGCCUCCAGCUCUCAGGCCUCUCACCUCUGGCCUUGCAUUUUCUUAAGUGUGGGUCAGCGUUAUAAGGAAAUCAGACAAAAAUACAGGAGAUGGAGUUUUGCUCUGUCACCCAGGCUGGAGGGCAAUG
RNAcentral lists this long non-coding RNA (849 nucleotides) under Homo sapiens (human). Its description in RNAcentral is "HSALNT0380391". Lineage: Eukaryota; Metazoa; Chordata; Mammalia; Primates; Hominidae. The record is from RNAcentral.